GUAUCGGUUAUGCUGCCAAGUGUACCGCCGAGUAGCCGCGUUCGGUUUGGAUAAGCGCUGAAAGCAUCUAAGCGCGAAGCUC
This 82-nucleotide ribosomal RNA is filed under the name Escherichia coli. Its description in RNAcentral is "partial 23S ribosomal RNA". It matches the Rfam family "Bacterial large subunit ribosomal RNA", at positions 2714 to 2795 of the family's 2925-position model. Lineage: Bacteria; Pseudomonadati; Pseudomonadota; Gammaproteobacteria; Enterobacterales; Enterobacteriaceae. The record is from RNAcentral.